This 2689-nucleotide long non-coding RNA is filed under the name Salmo salar (Atlantic salmon). RNAcentral's name for it is "lncRNA (ENSSSAG00000109908.1)". Lineage: Eukaryota; Metazoa; Chordata; Actinopteri; Salmoniformes; Salmonidae. The record is from RNAcentral.
CAGGAGGCCUGUCCCCAUCACUGAGGUUGAGGGGACUGAGGACGAAGCCCGGCAGGCCGCAGCGCCAGACAGGACCAAAGCAGCAGAAUCGGAGACAGGAGAAACAUCAACAACAUCCACAUCAACCCCAGCCCCACCAGAUACCCACUGUGGAGGAAGAGGAGGAGGAGGAAGAGGAGAGGAGGCAGUAACCAUCAACCUCAAGCCCUCGAACGCCUACGAGUUCAACCAGUCCCUGAACGCAGCGCGGACCCAGUCCGACCUCCCAGCCUGCGCUGAGCUGCUGAGCUGUGUUCCCCCUGAGACUCUGCCCGUCUACCUCAGUAAUCAGCUGGAUGGACACACGGUCAGCUUUGUUAUGCAGGCCCUGGAAACACAGCUCUUACGGAAGGAGCCUAACUUAGUCUACCAGCACCUCAACCACCUACAUACUGCUGACAGGUUCUCGGUCGUCGUGAUGCUCCUGGAGAAGAGUGAACGUGAUCAGAUGACUCGACUGUUUGACCGUCUGUCCGCCGUGGACAGUGAUGCCUUCAGUAAGAACGACGUGCAGAACCUGGCCAACAAGUACAUCUGACCUCGUCUGGCCCUGCUGGAGCACGUCCCAAAUAGGCCCCUAUUUACCUAGUGCACUAUGGAGGGAAUAAGGCGCCAUAAUGGGACGGUCGUAAGACGCCUAUCAACAUCGCAAGCCGACUUUAAAAACGAAUCCAGACUGGAAAAAUCACCUUUCCGUCAUAAAUAAAGACUAAAUAUUAUUUUGGUAGGUCAAGUCUUAAUUUACCCAUGAUUACAUCGCGUUGUUUUGAUGAUGUUCUCGAACUCGACCCCUUCGUUCUGGCGUGCACCUUCCUGUCGUACGCCGAAGCGUCCCGACGUAACAGACAGGAUCUAUGCAACGUUGGACAACACGACUCAGAAGCUGCUGAACGUACUGGGGAGCGUUAUGGACCCAAAACCCACCUCUUUCUUUCUCUCAAGUUCUCUCGGUAUAAUAUCACGUCUCUACCUACUGUUACUAGAAAUGACCAGAAGUUAUGAAAAUGCCCCAGCCAGUCAGCCAGCCAGCCAGCAGAGCACCCUUCCAUCUGCAGUAAUCAGAAGUAUAAUGCUCUGUAACAUGCAGCCAGCCAGCCAGUCAGCCAGCCAGCCAGCCAGUGGAGCACCCUUCCAUCUGCAGUAAUCAGCAGUCUAAUGCUCUGUAACAUGCAGCCAGCCAGCCAGCCAGCCAGCCAGCCAGCCAGCCAGUCAGCAGAGCACCCUUCCAUCUGCUCACAGUGGAGAGAAGACAAGCAGCAUCUUUGUCAGAUGUGCCUUUGGAGUUCAGCUUUUGGAUCUACACUGUUCUGUUGUGUACCCAUUUCAGAUGUUCUGUUGUGUACCCAUUUCAGAUGUUCUGUUGGGUACCCAUUUCAGAUGUUCUGUUGUGUACCCAUUUCAGAUGUUCUGUUGGGUACCCAUUUCAGAUGUUCUGUUCUGUUGGGUACCCAUUUCAGAUGUUCUGUUCUGUUGGGUACCCAUUUCAGAUGUUCUGUUGGGUACCCAUUUCAGAUGUUCUGUUCUGUUGGGUACCCAUUUCAGAUGUUCUGUCGUGUACCCAUUUCAGAUGUUCUGUUCUGUUGGGUACCCAUUUCAGAUGUUCUGUCGGGUACCCAUUUCAGAUGUUCUGUUGGGUACCCAUUUCAGAUGUUCUGUUGGGUACCCAUUUCAGAUGUUCUGUUGUGUACCCAUUUCAGAUGUUCUGUUGGGUACCCAUUUCAGAUGUUCUGUUGUGUACCCAUUUCAGAUGUUCUGUUGGGUACCCAUUUCAGAUGUUCUGUUGUUCUGUUGGGUACCCAUUUCAGAUGUUCUGUCGUGUACCCAUUUCAGAUGUUCUGUUGUUCUGUUGUGUACCCAUUUCAGAUGUUCUGUUGUGUACCCAUUUCAGAUGCCCAUUUCAGAUGUUCUGUUGGGUACCCAUUUCAGAUGUUCUGUUGGGUACCCAUUUCAGAUGUUCUGUUGGGUACCCAUUUCAGAUGUUCUGUUGUGUACCCAUUUCAGAUGUUCUGUUGGGUACCCAUUUCAGAUGUUCUGUUGGGUACCCAUUUCAGAUGUUCUGUUGUUCUGUUGGGUACCCAUUUCAGAUGUUCUGUCGUGUACCCAUUUCAGAUGUUCUGUUGUUCUGUUGUGUACCCAUUUCAGAUGUUCUGUUGUGUACCCAUUUCAGAUGUUCUGUUGGGUACCCAUUUCAGAUGUUCUGUUGUUCUGUUGGGUACCCAUUUCAGAUGUUCUGUCGUGUACCCAUUUCAGAUGUUCUGUUGUUCUGUUGUGUACCCAUUUCAGAUGUUCUGUUGUUCUGUUGUAUGCCCAUUUCAGAUGUUCUGUUGGGUACCCAUUUCAGAUGUUCUGUUGGGUACCCAUUUCAGAUGUUCUGUUGUGUACCCAUUUCAGAUGCCCAUUUCAGAUGUUCUGUUGUUGCAGAUUUAAAAACAUUUAAAAUGACUUGUCAAAAUGUUAGUGUGUUCUUCUUUCUAAAAUGAAUGAAUGUACCGUGUUGAAUUCAGGGAGACGAGCGGAGCGGCAGCUGUUUGUAGCCUGGAGCAAUAGCUGCAUGGUCAGCGGGCUAGCGGCUCAGGGAGGGGGUCAGCAGGCUAGCGGCUCAGGGAGGGGGUCAGCGGCUCAGGGAGGGGGGUCAGCGGCUCAGGGAGGG